This 497-nucleotide ribosomal RNA is filed under the name uncultured bacterium. RNAcentral's name for it is "partial 16S ribosomal RNA". It matches the Rfam family "Bacterial small subunit ribosomal RNA", at positions 28 to 507 of the family's 1533-position model. The record is from RNAcentral.
GAUGAACGCUGGCGGCGUGCCUAAUACAUGCCAGUCGAGCGGACGGACGAGACUCUUGCUUUUCUGAUGUUAGGGGCGGACGGGUGAGUCACACGUGGAUACCCUACCUAUAAGACUGGGAUAACUUCGGGAAACCGGAUCUAACACCGGAUAAUAUUUUGAACCGCGUGGUUCAAAGGUGAAAGACGGUCUUGCUGUCACUUAUAGAUGGUUCCGGGCUGGAUUAGCUAGUUGGUAGGGUAACGGCUUACCAAGGCAACGAUGCAUAGCCGACCCGAGAGGCUGAUCGGCCACACUGGAACUGAGACACGGUCCAGACUCCUACGGGAGGCAGCAGUAGGGAAUCUUCGGCAAUGGGCGAAAGCCUGACACAGCAACGCCGCGUGAGUGAUGAAGGUCUUCGGAUCGUAAAACUCUGUUAUUAGGGAAGAACAGAUGUGUGAGUAACUGUGCACAUCUUGACGGUACCUAAUGAGAAAGCAACGGCUAACUACGUG